AUUGAACGCUGGCGGCAUGCCUUACACAUGUAAGUCGAACGGCAGCACGGGUGCUUGCACCUGGUGGCGAGUGGCGAACGGGUGAGUAAUACAUCGGAACGUACCUUAUCGUGGGGGAUAACGCAGCGAAAGCUGUGCUAAUACCGCAUACGCCCUGAGGGGGAAAGCGGGGGAUCGCAAGACCUCGCGCGAUUAGAGCGGCCGAUGCCUGAUUAGCUUGUUGGUGGGGUAAAAGCCCACCAAGGCGACGAUCAGUAGCUGGUCUGAGAGGACGGUCAGCCACACUGGGACUGAGACACGGCCAGACUCCUACGGGAGGCAGCAGUGGGUAAUUUUGUACAAGGGGGGCAACCCUGAUCCAGCAAUGCCGCGUGAGUGAAGAAGGCCUUCGGGUUGUAAAGCUCUUGUGUCAGGGAAGAAACACCGGCUCUAACACAGUCCGGGAAUGACGGUACCUGAAGAAUAAGCACCGGCUAACUACGUGCCAGCCGCCGCCGUAA
RNAcentral lists this ribosomal RNA (500 nucleotides) under uncultured bacterium. RNAcentral's name for it is "partial 16S ribosomal RNA". It matches the Rfam family "Bacterial small subunit ribosomal RNA", at positions 30 to 523 of the family's 1533-position model. The record is from RNAcentral.